CUGAAUAACUCAGCUGAUCGCAUGGUCCUCGUACCGGCGACGUAUCUUUCAAGUGUCUGCCUUAUCAACUUUCGAUGGUAGUUUACACGCCUACCAUGGUUGUAACGGGUAACGGAGAAUAAGGGUUCGACUCCGGAGAGGGAGCCUGAGAAACGGCUACCACAUCCAAGGAAGGCAGCAGGCGCGCAAAUUACCCACUCUCAGAACGAGGAGGUAGUGACGAAAAAUAACGAGACGGUUCUCUAUGAGGUCCGUCAUCGGAAUGGGUACAAUUUAAACCCUUUAACGAGGAUCUAUUGGAGGGCAAGUCUGGUGCCAGCAGCCGCGGUAAUUCCAGCUCCAAUAGCGUAUAUUAAAGUUGUUGCGGUUAAAAAG
This 375-nucleotide ribosomal RNA is filed under the name Nematoda sp. Its description in RNAcentral is "SSU rRNA". It matches the Rfam family "Eukaryotic small subunit ribosomal RNA", at positions 252 to 626 of the family's 1831-position model. Lineage: Eukaryota; Metazoa; Nematoda. The record is from RNAcentral.